AAAUAUCAACCUUGGGUGGAUUUGCUUCCUCUCCGAUGGUUGGACUUUGGAGAGUGCUGGCGUCAGGUCGGCUCCUCUUAAAUGCAUCAGCGGAAAACUUUGACCUCUGGACGUCAACGUGAUUAUCACGCUGCGCUGUCGACCGAGGUGUCAUCAUAAGGACCCGCUUCUAAUGGUCUUCGGACAGGACAUCAA
This 195-nucleotide unclassified non-coding RNA is filed under the name uncultured Piloderma. RNAcentral describes it as "sequence contains ITS2". Lineage: Eukaryota; Fungi; Basidiomycota; Agaricomycetes; Atheliales; Atheliaceae. The record is from RNAcentral.